RNAcentral lists this transfer RNA (71 nucleotides) under Chitinophagaceae bacterium. RNAcentral describes it as "tRNA-Phe". It matches the Rfam family "tRNA". From Rfam's summary of the family: Transfer RNA (tRNA) molecules are approximately 80 nucleotides in length. Their secondary structure includes four short double-helical elements and three loops (D, anti-codon, and T loops). Lineage: Bacteria; Pseudomonadati; Bacteroidota; Chitinophagia; Chitinophagales; Chitinophagaceae. The record is from RNAcentral.
GGAUGAAUAACUCAAUGGUAGAGUGCCUGUCUGAAGAGCUGGUAGUGCAAGUUCGAAUCUUGCUUCGUCCA